GGCGCAUGGAUGAAGAAAUGAGUUAAGGGUCGGGCGCCGGAGGGGGGGGUUAUCCCCGUUAUUUGCCGUGUGCCCGGAUCCGGCACUCGGCAAACUAUGGCUAUGCCGAGUGCCAGAUCGGCGGCACUCGGCAAACUACGCCUAUGCCGAGUGCCAGAUCGGCGGCACUCGGCAAACUACGCCUAUGCCGAGUGCCAGAUCGGCGGCACUCGGCAAACUACGCCUAUGCCGAGUGCCAGAUCGCGGCACUCGGCAAAGGGUUUUUAAAAUAUUUGAUUCAUUUCUUUGCCGAGUGCCGGACCAGGUGGCACUCGGCAACUAUUUAUUUUAACUGAGUUCCAAAAGCAAUGAUACUGAAAUUAACAUAAUGUAAAAACAUAUUAUUUCAUGCAUAACUUUUAAUUUCAAAUUAACAUAAUUUUAAUUUCAAGUUUCAAGAUUUUAUGCAAGAAAACCUAUUAUUUCAUGUCUUUCUAAAGUCGAAUUGAAUUUAUAUCAACAUUCGUUUUGAUGAGGUAUGUAUAAAAAAUUUAGUGACUACCAACUAAAUAAUUUGCCAAAAUAAAACAACAAAUUAUGGUUCAUGAUUUCAUGCAAAAAAACCCUAUUAUUUCAUGCGUUUAAAGAUCAACUUAAAACUAAAUAGAAUGAUUUUCAAUAUGUGCCAAAAAUAAUUUAAUAUAUAGAUAACAAAUUCAAAAAUUAACCAAAUUUUCACAAGACACAUGUUUUGUUGUUAUUUCUCUAUAUAAAAAGUUUCACAUUAAAAAUCAUAUGCGACUUUCAUUUCAACCACAAAUCCAACCGGAUACUACACAUCUCUCCGAAACUUCUUCGGAGGUUCUCCGGCUUGUGAGCGGCGUACAUUGUCACGUGUCCGAAACACUGUCAAUUUUUUUCCACUCUAUCCUCGCAUGAAACCAAGAGUUUUGCACAAUUCCCAUGAUUUUCAGACAUUGCAUGCUAUUUUUGGUUUUUUUCCGAACGUCCGUGCGCACGCUUGUGAUCAAGUUUCCUGAUAAAGAUGCUUCAACUUUUAAGUUCUUUCGCGCAUAAGACAUCAGUUUUGAUUCUGGUACAUAAAUAUCAAAUUUCCAUUCAUUGAUUUUGAAAUUUCGAACCACUUCUAAUUUAAUAUUAACUUCGAAUGAUUAUUCCCCGCAAACAAAAAAUUAACAGAAAAUAGUAAACCAAUCAAUAAAAGUUUUUUAUGUUAUUAGGGAUUAAAUUAUCAAAUUUAACUAGAGACCAAAAAAUUUUGAAGGCCAAAAAUUUUUUUUUACCCAAUUUUGCCGAGUACCUAAGCUCCAGCACUCGGCAAAAGAAAAUUUGCCGAGAGCCAGGCUCGAGGCACUCGGCAAAAUUACUCUUUUGCCGAGUGUCAAGUGAAGGCACUCGGCAAACUGCCCCCUUUGCCGAGUGCCAGGUGGUGGCACUCGACAAAGACUUGACGCCAUCAGCCCCACUAACGGGCGGCGCACGGCGGGCGCGCGUGCUGGGCACGUGUGCUGGCUUUGCCGAGUGCCGCCGAGCCAGCACUCGGCAAAGGGGACAGUUUGCCGAGUGCCAUUCGUUGCCGACGGCCGGCACUCGGUAAAGCUCGGGCAUGCCGUGUGGCAGAUGUUUGCCGAGUGCUCGUGGCCUGGCACUCAGCAAACCACAUCUUUGCCGAGUGCCCGUGUUCUGGCACUCGGCCAAAGCCGAAACACUCGGCAAAUUUGGGGUUUCCAGUAGUGCUCCCAUUAAUUUGCUUUCAGCCGGUUCCGGUUCCACAAUUUAGGUUCCUCCCACCUAGCUCCUCCCGUCUUUAGAUCAUCGAAUUUGAGAAAAUGGAGAGCUCACAUUAACUCUAAGCACCUUAAAAAAAUCUCUUGUUUCUCAUCGAAUGCGAUAGCAUACUGCAUAUUAGUACACAGUACUGCAUGAUAAAACGGAAAGGUGUUCGCAAAAAAAAAAAAAAACAGAAAGGUAAACAUGAUUUGAGAAGAACACAUGGGGAGCCGGUGAACAACUUGCGCGAGUAUGUAAACGGAAAGGUAAACAUGAUUUGCGAAGAACACAUGGAGCCGGUGAACAACUCGCGCGCCUAAUGGUGUAUUUAUAAGAGUUUGUAUGUUCUAUUAAGCAAGUACUACUGUAGAAGCAUGCCUGUUUGAAAUUUGAAUGCUGGUGAGCAGUCUUCUGCUUUCUUUUCAUGAUUGCUCUUAAUCCAGUUGUGUGGCUUGAGAUGGCCUGGGAUUUGUCAGUGCCAUUACCUUGUUUUGUGUUUGGUUGGAUAAGCUAGUUUACAGUUUCAUCUGAGGUUGUGAUUUAUGUUAUGCAUAGUUGGUGAGAGGCUAUUAGCACCCAACUUGCUGGAGCUUUUUUCUAGGUAACUCCCUCUACCUGUUAGUGUUGUGCGCUACUCUUCUUUACUGAAAGUCUGAGACUUUAGGGACUAUGCUUACAAACCCUCAUGCAGGGGCUCUUGAUUGGUUUUCUGAAUAUGAUCAAUUAGGGAAGUAUGUGCCGUGUUUUAGGAAGUUCAGUUGAUGCAGAUUCAAGCAUCAUAUGUUCCAUUCCUAGGCUCUUAGCUGAUUUCAUUCGAUCAGUAAUAUGCAGCAGUGACAGGACUGUGUUAAGUCUAUUAAGCAAGUAAUCUGACUGUAGAAGCAUGCCUGUUUGGAAUUUGAAUGCUGGUGAGCAUUCUUAUACAUAACUGCUCUUAAUUCAGUUGUGUGACUUGAGAUGGCCUGGGAUAUGGCAGCGUGGGUUAGGGGAGGAUAGUUUCUUUGUGUUGCGUUAAAAGUAUUCUUUGUAUCUACCCUACUAAUGUACCAACAUUUUCUUUCUUAGAUCCACACCAAAUAUUGUCCCCUACUGAGAAGUCGACACUCUAUCCACCCCAAAAAGUGUACCUAAGAAAACAACAUCAUUAAAAUAGACCAUCCAGAUUUACUUUUAUUCUUCUCUCUCCUCACUCACUCAUCAUCCAAGGGUCACGAUUGUGUGUGUCAUCUUCAUCCUUCCCUCCCGCACCCACGCCCCGAGCCCCCACGCUUGCUCGCGGCAUGCGGCCACGGUUCGAUUCCAGUUUCUGGCCGUAUUUUUUUUAUUUCGAUUGGAAACAUUAUUCUCCCCUCUCGACUCUCGAUCAGCGUGGGGAAACCGGCGGGGCGGCAGUCACGAAACCCUAGCCGCGACGACGAGCCCAUCCCACCGCAUCAGCCACACCACCGCGUGCUCCGCGUCCUUUCGCCUCCGAAGUGGCCGCUCGGUGGACGCGACCUCGGCCGUCACGGUGAAGAACGGCGCGGCGGGCGCGGUGGCCAUAGAUAGAUCCCGCCCCACCGCCGCCUCAGGUGCCCUUGCCCGCCGCAGUUCCCUUGAGAUUGGAUGCCAUGGAGACCGAUGACCAUGGAGGGAAGAUUCCACCGAGGAAGCCUGCGGCUUCAACUUUCUUUCGCCUGUAAUUUAUUUAUUGCUUCGCUUACUUACUGCUCUUCGUUCCUCCGCCGAGCGGGAUCCAAUGUCGACCACGUCGAGGCACGCAAAUGGGUCUGCGGCAAGAGCUCACUACCUUCACCGCGCCGGACGCCGGACGCCGGACGGCACCACCGCUGCAGCAGAGGAACCACCACCGAGGGAAGGGGACGAAGGAGCCAGAUCUGAAGAAGAGGAAGAAGCACGAGGAGCCUACUUGGACUGUCACAUUUUAUCAGAUUAUAUAUAUCUCUUUUCUUAGCCAGGGGAGCGAGAGAUUGAAGGAACCACUAAAUUCAAUAGGGCUAGAGCCAAGUGAACUAAAGAUGAUAGCUUCUGAAUGGGUAAUCACUUGUCUGCAAGACAAUAUAGAAUCCCUCGAGCAAAGCAAUGGCCCAAAAACAGGCCUCUCACUGUGUUUCAGAUUCUAUUGAUUUAACCAAAACGUGCCUCAUUGCCUCAUUGGGCUUGACAUCGACAACGAUGACCAUGGCAACAUUCACUUCUGUGGCAGCGGUGAGGUAGCUGCGCGCUAAGCUCUCGGUUCCCAUGGAUGGCGCCAAGGCGGUGGCAGUGGACGACGUCUUCGUCAAAACUACAUGGCUGCCCUCCCGCUUCUCCCUCGCCAUGGUUGCUUUGAAUGAUGAAUUGAUGAUACACUGCUACUCUGCUAUGUAAAUUCAAUGGGUGAAAAGAAUAUAUGGACUGAGAUGAACUUUUUAAUUUACAGCAUACAUUUGUAAGGUUCGUGUACUUGUCACUGCCCAGGUUAGAUGAUUCCAUAUAUUUGAAUAUUUAUCAUUGCGUUAAGGUUG
Molecule: long non-coding RNA, 4277 nt
Organism: Panicum virgatum (switchgrass)
Lineage: Eukaryota; Viridiplantae; Streptophyta; Magnoliopsida; Poales; Poaceae
Exons: 4
Source: RefSeq, a predicted model, not a curated record